This 506-nucleotide ribosomal RNA is filed under the name uncultured bacterium. Its description in RNAcentral is "partial 16S ribosomal RNA". It matches the Rfam family "Bacterial small subunit ribosomal RNA", at positions 30 to 523 of the family's 1533-position model. The record is from RNAcentral.
AUUGAACGCUGGCGGCAGGCCUAACACAUGCAAGUCGAACGGUAACAGGAAUCAGCUUGCUGAUUCGCUGACGAGUGGCGGACGGGUGAGUAAUGUCUGGGAAACUGCCUGAUGGAGGGGGAUAACUACUGGAAACGGUAGCUAAUACCGCAUAACGUCGCAAGACCAAAGAGGGGGACCUUCGGGCCUCUUGCCAUCGGAUGUGCCCAGAUGGGAUUAGCUAGUAGGUGGGGUAAUGGCUCACCUAGGCGACGAUCCCUAGCUGGUCUGAGAGGAUGACCAGCCACACUGGAACUGGGACACGGUCCAGACUCCUACGGGAGGCAGCAGUGGGGAAUAUUGCACAAUGGGCGCAAGCCUGAUGCAGCCAUGCCGCGUGUAUGAAGAAGGCCUUCGGGUUGUAAAGUACUUUCAGCGAGGAGGAAGGUGUUGAGGUUAAUAACCUUAGCAAUUGACGUUACUCGCAGAAGAAGCACCGGCUAACUCCGUGCCAGCCGCCGCGGUAA